AAAGAUCAGGGCACCUUUUCAUGGAAUGGUCAACAUAGAAGGUUUUCAAAUACUAUAUCUAUGAAGCGAAGAAUGUAAUAGAAAAUGGGGAGAAAACCACUCAAAGCCAAAAUGAAUGUCCCAUGUCCGUUUGGCCUUGAAACGGAUGUGCGACAUCCGUCGACGGAUAUGGAUAUGCGACACCCGUUCUGACAUUAUGGGUCAUCGUCUUCCUACACACAAAACACAGAAAAGGCACCAGACAACCAAACACCAACAAACCAUGCACAUUUGCAAUAAAAUCUAAGAUCAUGCAUAUUAAAGUCUAAAAAUGGAAGCACCUGGUAGACAAAUGUCCCGAUUUGCACCACACACCACUAAUGUGAACCACCGCGCUGCACCACGAACAUCACACCACCGCACCGCACCACGACAGAUAGGUAAAGUUUGGAUAGUUUAGAAGAAGUGACCCAGAGAAAAGAGUGUGACGAAAAUGGGAGAAAAAGAAACGGAAGUCGAAGUUUUAGGAGGGAGUGGGGCUAUGAGCAGAGAGAGUGAGAAUGUGACGCAAAUGGGAGAAAAAGAGGUGGAUGUCAAAGUUUUAAGAGGGGAUGAGACUGUGAACAGAGAGUACAAGUGAAAAAAGAGUAAAAAGUUAGGGUUGAAGUUUCCUAAUUAAUAUUAAAAGUAAAAAACUAAAAAUAAUGUAAAAAUGUUAAAAAAUAAAAAGAAAAAAGUUAUUUUUGUAAUAAAAAAUGUAAAAAGUUGAAGAAGUGAAGGAAGGAAACGAGGAGGUGGAGGGAACAAUUCCCUUGUAAUUUUUGUCUUCGUCUUAUUAUCAUCUUAAUAUUUAACUGUUUAAAAUUUUAAAAUAUAUUUAAUUUAUUAAAUAAUUAAAAAAAAUAUAUAAAAAAUUAUUUAAUUUUUAGUUCAUAAUGAUUAUUUUUACUAUUUUCUUCAUUGACUGAUAUUCUUAUC
Molecule: long non-coding RNA, 957 nt
Filed under: Vigna radiata
Lineage: Eukaryota; Viridiplantae; Streptophyta; Magnoliopsida; Fabales; Fabaceae
Description: long non-coding RNA (VRAD_LNC002800)
Source: RNAcentral